This is a non-coding RNA of Coniochaeta pulveracea, 98 nucleotides long. NCBI's taxonomy places the organism in Eukaryota, Fungi, Ascomycota, Sordariomycetes, Coniochaetales, Coniochaetaceae. The record is from the annotation of a GenBank genome assembly.
GGUUCUGUGGUCUAGUGGUUAUGACUGUUCGUUGUGGAACAUCUUUAGGGAUUUCGCCGCCAUCCGAACCAGCCCGUGUUCGAUUCACGGCAGAGCCA